This 723-nucleotide small RNA is filed under the name Arabidopsis thaliana (thale cress). RNAcentral describes it as "ATSL277390". Lineage: Eukaryota; Viridiplantae; Streptophyta; Magnoliopsida; Brassicales; Brassicaceae. The record is from RNAcentral.
ACAAAAAGGGUGGUUUGGGGAUAAGACUGCUAUACGAGGCUAAUACGGUUAGUGUCUUGAAGCUUAUAUGGAAACUAGUCUCUUCUGGGUAUUCAAUGUGGGUCGAUUGGUGAUAACACUGUAUUUUACUCAUUUUAGGUGUGUAUUUAUCAUCAUUUAGCUUUGCAUUUGCUCAUUGUAUCAUAUCAUUUUGCACCACUUUAGCUUGUUUUGCAUACUUAGGCAUCUAGGAUCAUCUUGCAUAUGCAUUGCAUGUUUUGGUGUGCUUUCAGGUGCAGAAGGAGGUAAAAAGGACUCAACUCGAUCCAUUCACUUGAUCUAGGCAGCUUCAGAAGAGGCAUCAUUCUACUCGACCUCUUUACUCGAUCCAGGAUGCUACAAAGAAGGCUGCAGUUUACUCGACCCUCUUACUCGAUCAAGGCAACCUCAGAUGAAGAAGCAGAUUGAUCUACUCGCCCCUCCUACUCGAUCCAUUUACUCGACCAAGGGUGACCAACUCUACAAGACUUGUUGAGCUAUCAAAGCGUCUUCGGAUCCUCCUCAUUCCCCACUCAACCAGACAUCUGCGCAUAUGGAUAGGAGAAGAUGAAGCAUCUACUCGACUAAUUGAUCACUCGGAGCAUAGACACAAAGGCGCAGACUUUGCAGCACCCUCUUUACUCGAUCCCCAAGAUCGAUUAUUAGCCCAAACCGCCUCAAGUCACUUGUCUUCUAGUAAAUCUA